CUUUAGUGGCGAACGGGUGCGUAAUACGUGAGAAUCUGCCCUUAGGAGAAGAAUAACUGCUGGAAACGGCUGCUAAAUCUUCAUAUGUCGAGAGAUGAAAUAGCUUAGGCUGCCUAAGGAUGAGCUCACGCCUGAUUAGCUAGUUGGUGAGGUAAUGGCUCACCAAGGCCACGAUCAGUAGCUGGUUUGAGAGAACGAUCAGCCACACUGGGACUGAGACACGGCCCAGACUCCUCCGGGAGGCAGCAGUGAGGAAUUUUCCGCAAUGGGCGAAAGCCUGACGGAGCAAUACCGCGUGAGGGAUGAAGGAUUUUGGUCUGUAAACCUCUUUUCUCAAGAAAGAAGUUCUGACGGUACUUGAGGAAUAAGCAUCGGCUAACUCCGUGCCAGCAGCCGCGGUAAUACGGGGGAUGCAAGCGUUAUCCGGAAUCAUUGGGCGUAAAGCGCCUGUAGGUUGUUUAA
Molecule: ribosomal RNA, 462 nt
Filed under: uncultured Chrysochromulina
Lineage: Eukaryota; Haptophyta; Prymnesiales; Chrysochromulinaceae
Description: bacterial SSU rRNA
Rfam family: Bacterial small subunit ribosomal RNA
Source: RNAcentral